Molecule: long non-coding RNA, 1148 nt
Organism: Lolium rigidum
Lineage: Eukaryota; Viridiplantae; Streptophyta; Magnoliopsida; Poales; Poaceae
Exons: 2
Source: RefSeq, a predicted model, not a curated record
CUUCCCCUUUUCUCAAAUCUCGAUUUUUUACCAUGUUUCUGAUCUCGAUUACUUGCUGAUAUUUUUUGCAUCGUGUUUCCAGGUCCCAUGGUCAUUCAAAUUAAUAGUAGAAUUUUAGAGUAUGGUCAUGGAAUUUUCUUAUUGAUAUUUUGAUAGCGGCCAUGAUCCAACCCCAAUUAGCAUUUUGGAAUCAUUAUUUGGCAGCGUUAAUGUCAGUUUUUGUUUGGUUUAGUAAGGACGCAGUGGAGACCAUGAACAAUCAUAGCGCAGUGAAGAUUGGUUGUUUCCCUGGGUUUUGUGAGUGAUAGUGGUUUCACAGACAAUAAGAUUGUUUCUGUUGCUCACGAUUCACCUCAAUUAUUCACUGGUAGAUGCUAGGCAACAUAUUGAUUUUCCCUUCAUAUCGUGCUGAAUGGAAAAAUCCGAAUUGGAUUUGUUUGUUUGACGUGUUGUUUUGGGGAAAAGCUAGAAUGAGAGUCUGCUGUUGCUCCAGCUCCAACAAUUUUGGAUCCAAAUGUGAUGUAAUCCCUUUCUCUCACUUGACUGAGUUUUGCUUUUUUGGAGACUAAUAUUUUUUUGGAUCAGCUGACAAUCUUUUACUGAAGCUAAUGUAUCUGGUACUGAAGCUAAUGGAGUCAUUAAUGUAAAAAUUUGCACAACCAAAACAAUCAGUCAGACAUGGUGCCCGCCUGGUUCUGGACAAUGAUGGCUUUCACCGUGCUUGCUUCCCUGUACCUGUGUGGUGGACAAUUGUUGGUCGCUGUGCAUACCAUGGCCUCAUACACCUGCACCAUCCUGCUCAUCUACUAUGUGCGCCGCAUGGAGUUCGCUUCACCGGCGUCAAGGCCAGCGAUGGCAGUAGCCGUGGUGGUUCUCCUAUUGUGGACAUGGGAUUGAAUUAUAUGCCAAAUGCCUGACCGACAAUGCUGCUAGGGAUAGCAGCUGGUACUAUCUUCACGAUCGCUACUCCAAGCACGAGUUUUAUGACUGAGAACGAGGAGGCCUCCGUAGUUGGAGAACCUUGAUGUAACUUGGAUAGGGUACUGGAACAAAUUAAUGUAUCUUGUUAAGCAAUGAUUGAUUACUGUCUUAUGGGUGCACGCUUCCAUGUAAAUCGUUCUAUGUUAUGAAAUCAGUUUGUUUUUUCA